AGCUUUGCACAGGGGCUAUAUCAUAGCCAAUGAGGUUUAUCCGAGGUGCAAUUAUUGCUAAUUGAAAACUUUUCCCAAUAUCCCACCAAAUACGUGUAUGUGUAUGUGUAUGUAUAUGUGUAUGUGUAUGUAUAUG
This 136-nucleotide small nuclear RNA is filed under the name Dasypus novemcinctus (nine-banded armadillo). Its description in RNAcentral is "U4 spliceosomal RNA (ENSDNOG00000029305.1)". It matches the Rfam family "U4 spliceosomal RNA". From Rfam's summary of the family: U4 small nuclear RNA (U4 snRNA) is a component of the major U2-dependent spliceosome. The structure of U4 snRNA from yeast and human has been reported. U4 snRNA presents a k-turn RNA motif in the 5p-SL related to recognition of Snu13 protein. Lineage: Eukaryota; Metazoa; Chordata; Mammalia; Cingulata; Dasypodidae. The record is from RNAcentral.